UACGUAGGGGGCUAGCGUUGUCCGGAUUUAUUGGGCGUAAAGAGCGUGUAGGCGGCCAGGUAGGUCUGGUGUGAAAACUCGGGGCUUAACCUCGAGAUGUCAUCGGAAACCAUCUGGCUAGAGUCCGGAAGAGGAGAGUGGAAUUCCUGGUGUAGCGGUGAAAUGCGCAGAUAUCAGGAAGAACACCAAUGGCGAAAGCAGCUCUCUGGGACGGUACUGACGCUGAGACGCGAAAGCGUGGGGAGCGAACAGG
Molecule: ribosomal RNA, 253 nt
Filed under: uncultured bacterium
Lineage: Bacteria
Description: partial 16S ribosomal RNA
Rfam family: Bacterial small subunit ribosomal RNA
Source: RNAcentral